GGGUUGUGAGGUUAAGCGACUAAGCGUACACGGUGGAUGCCCUGGCAGUCAGAGGCGAUGAAGGACGUGCUAAUCUGCGAUAAGCGCCGGUAAGGUGAUAUGAACCGUUAUAACCGGCGAUUUCCGAAUGGGGAAACCCAGUGUGACUCGUCACACUAUCAUUAACUGAAUCCAUAGGUUAAUGAGGCGAACCGGGGGAACUGAAACAUCUAAGUACCCCGAGGAAAAGAAAUCAACCGAGAUUCCCCCAGUAGCGGCGAGCGAACGGGGAGGAGCCCAGAGCCUGAAUCAGCAUGUGUGUUAGUGGAAGCGUCUGGAAAGGCGCGCGAUACAGGGUGACAGCCCCGUACACAAAAGCGCAUGUGUUGUGAGCUCGAUGAGUAGGGCGGGACACGUGAUAUCCUGUCUGAAUAUGGGGGGACCAUCCUCCAAGGCUAAAUACUCCUGACUGACCGAUAGUGAACCAGUACCGUGAGGGAAAGGCGAAAAGAACCCCGGCGAGGGGAGUGAAAAAGAACCUGAAACCGUGUACGUACAAGCAGUGGGAGCACCCUUCGGGGUGUGACUGCGUACCUUUUGUAUAAUGGGUCAGCGACUUAUAUUCUGUAGCAAGGUUAACCGAAUAGGGGAGCCGGAGGGAAACCGAGUCUUAACCGGGCGUUAAGUUGCAGGGUAUAGACCCGAAACCCGGUGAUCUAGCCAUGGGCAGGUUGAAGGUUGGGUAACACUAACUGGAGGACCGAACCGACUAAUGUUGAAAAAUUAGCGGAUGACCUGUGGCUGGGGGUGAAAGGCCAAUCAAACCGGGAGAUAGCUGGUUCUCCCCGAAAGCUAUUUAGGUAGCGCCUCGUGAAUUCAUCUCCGGGGGUAGAGCACUGUUUCGGCUAGGGGGCCAUCCCGGCUUACCAACCCGAUGCAAACUGCGAAUACCGGAGAAUGUUAUCACGGGAGACACACGGCGGGUGCUAACGUCCGUCGUGAAGAGGGAAACAACCCAGACCGCCAGCUAAGGUCCCAAAGUCAUGGUUAAGUGGGAAACGAUGUGGGAAGGCCCAGACAGCCAGGAUGUUGGCUUAGAAGCAGCCAUCAUUUAAAGAAAGCGUAAUAGCUCACUGGUCGAGUCGGCCUGCGCGGAAGAUGUAACGGGGCUAAACCAUGCACCGAAGCUGCGGCAGCGA
Molecule: ribosomal RNA, 1178 nt
Filed under: Salmonella enterica
Lineage: Bacteria; Pseudomonadati; Pseudomonadota; Gammaproteobacteria; Enterobacterales; Enterobacteriaceae
Description: bacterial LSU rRNA
Rfam family: Bacterial large subunit ribosomal RNA
Source: RNAcentral